Long non-coding RNA from Oncorhynchus kisutch (coho salmon), 774 nucleotides. RefSeq lists it as uncharacterized. The record is from RefSeq and is a predicted model, not a curated record. The transcript is spliced from 2 exons. Lineage: Eukaryota; Metazoa; Chordata; Actinopteri; Salmoniformes; Salmonidae.
UAAAACUUUAUUGAAAAUGUUGGCCAAAAUCCGUCUCGUUCCGCCUUCUCCCAUUUGCCCUCCAGUGGGCUUCCUCUCAGUCCCACAUGGAAACGCCAAGCAGAGUACCCAGUCUAGCUAUAACGUUAAAACUAACGUGAACGACGCUGGACCAAUUGUAGGACUCCCAAUCACGGCCGGAUGUGAUACAGCCUGGAAUCGAGCCGAUGACUGUAGUGACGACUCUUACACUGACAUCAGUGCCUUAGACAACUCGAAUCCAAUCCAACUGCUGAAGCUCUGUUCACCACCCGACAAAAGUAUAGCUAACCAAUUACCGUUUAAUCAGACGAUGGACAUACGGAACAGAAGAUGCAACUCAACAGACACGGUUGUUGUAUUUGUAGCAGUAAGUGAAUAGUUUGUGUUUACAAUGAUUGAUCAUCUCGCUACAUGGUAGAUGGGUUGGCUGCCAACGAUGUGCGCUCCUCAGCCUGUUGUGGUUCUGGUUGGCCAGACUGCUCGCCAGAGAGACACUGUCAUGGGAGGAAUCAUACAGGGCUUAUUUCAGCAUGUUUCAUCUUGUUAUUGAUACCAUGUUGUCUUUUGAGGUGUUUUGACUGAUUUCAUGUCAACGCAAAUGUAUUUAAAAAAAAAAGAAAGUGUGAUAACUUGCUCACCGUCAACUGUAAUGAUGUAUUUGAAACAACAAGUGGUCAUUGUGCAAAUGUUGUUUUGUUUUUUUCUUCCAAUAAACAUCGGAGACGAAAUAUAGUUUCCACGUUAACAAUCUAA